Molecule: ribosomal RNA, 502 nt
Filed under: Leiogalathea juturna
Lineage: Eukaryota; Metazoa; Arthropoda; Malacostraca; Decapoda; Munidopsidae
Description: partial 16S large subunit ribosomal RNA
Rfam family: Bacterial large subunit ribosomal RNA
Source: RNAcentral
GUCUGUAUGAAGUUAUAUAAAGUCUAGCCUGCCCAAUGAAUUUUGUUUAAAAGGCCGCAGUAAUUUGACUGUGCAAAGGUAGCAUAAUAAUUAGUUUUUUAAUUGAAGGCUUGUAUGAAUGGUUGGACAAAGAAAAAUCUGUCUUUUAUAUUAUCUUUGAAUUUUACAUUUAAGUGAAAAGGCUUAAAUAAAUUUAAGGGACGAUAAGACCCUAUAAAUCUUUACAUUGAAUUAAGAUUUUUUUAUAAAAUCAUAAAAUUUAAUAAUGUUAUGUUGGGGCAACAAAAAUAUAAAAAAUAACUGUUAUAUAAAUUAUACAUUUAUUUAUGAAUAGAUAAAAGAUCCUUUAAAGAGAUUAAAAGUUUAAGUUACUUUAGGGAUAACAGCGUUAUUUUUUUUGAGAGUUCUCAUUAAAAAAAAAGUUUGCGACCUCGAUGUUGAAUUAAAAUUUCUCUGUGGUGCAGAAGUUACAAGAGAGAGUCUGUUCGACUUUUAAAAUUUU